Molecule: ribosomal RNA, 488 nt
Filed under: uncultured bacterium
Lineage: Bacteria
Description: bacterial SSU rRNA
Rfam family: Bacterial small subunit ribosomal RNA
Source: RNAcentral
AGAGUUUGAUCCUGGCUCAGGAUGAACGCUGGCGGCGUGCCUAAAACAUGCAAGUCGUGCGGUAACAGGGAGAGCUUGCUCUCUGCUGACGAGCGGCGGACGGCUGAGUAACGCGUGGGAAUCCACCCCAAAGUGAGGGAUAACUGCCCGAAAGGGUGGCUAAUACCGCAUAUGGUCUUCGGAUUAAAGCUUCGGCGCUUUGGGAAGAGCCCGCGUCAGAUUAGAUAGUUGGUGAGGUAAUGGCUCACCAAGUCGAUGAUCUGUAACUGGUUUGAGAGGAUGAUCAGUCAGACUGGAACUGAGAAACGGUCCAGACUCCUACGGGAGGCAGCAGUUAGGAAUAUUCCACAAUGGGGGCAACCCUGAUGGAGCAACGCCGCGUGGAGGAUGAAGGCCUUCGGGUUGUAAACUUCUUUUCUAUGCGAAGAAUAUGACGGUAACAUAGGAAUAAGGGUCUGCUAACUACGUGCCAGCCGCCGCGGUAAUAC